AACGCACCUUGCGCUCCUUGGUAUUCCGAGGAGCAUGCCUGUUUGAGUGUCAUUAAUAUUAUCAACCUCUUCGGCUUUUGCUUGUUGAGUGUUGGAUGUGGGGGGUCUUUUUUGCUGGUCUUCUCAGGUCAGCUCCCCUGAAAUACAUUAGCAGAACAGUUUUGUGGACCGUUCAUUGGUGUGAUAACUAUCUACGCUAUUGACGUGAAGCAGAGUUCAGCUUUCUAACAGUCCAUUGACUUGGACAAAUCUUCAUUAAUGUGACCUCAAAUCAGGUAGGAUUACCCGCUGAACUUAA
RNAcentral lists this unclassified non-coding RNA (298 nucleotides) under uncultured fungus. RNAcentral describes it as "partial contains 5.8S ribosomal RNA, internal transcribed spacer 2, and large subunit ribosomal RNA". The stretch from base 1 to 52 matches the Rfam family "5.8S ribosomal RNA", at positions 103 to 154 of the family's 154-position model. RNAcentral also lists the same sequence under 1 other name. The record is from RNAcentral. Lineage: Eukaryota; Fungi.